Molecule: ribosomal RNA, 235 nt
Filed under: uncultured bacterium
Lineage: Bacteria
Description: partial 16S ribosomal RNA
Rfam family: Bacterial small subunit ribosomal RNA
Source: RNAcentral
CGAACGGGUGAGUAACACGUGGGUGACCUGCCCUUAGCUCUGGGAUAAGCCUGGGAAACUGGGUCUAAUACCGGAUAUGACUCCAUGACGCAUGUUGUGGGGUGGAAAGCCUUGUGCGGCUAGGGAUGGGCCCGCGGCCUAUCAGCUUGUUGGUGGGGUGAUGGCCUACCAAGGCGACGACGGGUAGCCGGCCUGAGAGGGCGACCGGCCGCACUGGGACUGAGACACGGCCCAG